RNAcentral lists this ribosomal RNA (200 nucleotides) under uncultured bacterium. RNAcentral describes it as "partial 16S ribosomal RNA". It matches the Rfam family "Bacterial small subunit ribosomal RNA", at positions 9 to 211 of the family's 1533-position model. The record is from RNAcentral.
AGAUUUGAUCAUGGCUCAGGACGAACGCUGGCGGCGUGCUUAACACAUGCAAGUCGAGCGGAAAGGCCCUUCGGGGUACUCGAGCGGCGAACGGGUGAGUAACACGUGAGCAAUCUGCCCCUAGCUCUGGGAUAGCUCCGGGAAACCGGAAUUAAUACCUGAUAUGACCAAGGCCGACAUCGGCCCUGGUGGAAAGCUUU